CGACGAGCUUGGUGUACUUGGCCAGCACGCCGGUCUUGUACACCGGGGGCAGCGGCUCGAAACCGACCUUGCGCGACUCGAAUUCGUCCUUGUCGACCA
Molecule: transfer RNA, 99 nt
Filed under: Mycobacterium sp. AZCC_0083
Lineage: Bacteria; Bacillati; Actinomycetota; Actinomycetes; Mycobacteriales; Mycobacteriaceae
Description: tRNA-Thr
Source: RNAcentral